This is a non-coding RNA of Bos taurus (domestic cattle), 72 nucleotides long. The record is from Rfam. Lineage: Eukaryota; Metazoa; Chordata; Mammalia; Artiodactyla; Bovidae.
UCCCUGGUGGCUCAGUUGGUAAAGAAUCCACCUGCAAUGUGGGAGACCUGGGUUCAAUCCCUGGGUUGGGAA